RNAcentral lists this non-coding RNA (117 nucleotides) under Gorilla gorilla gorilla (western lowland gorilla). The record is from Rfam by way of RNAcentral. Lineage: Eukaryota; Metazoa; Chordata; Mammalia; Primates; Hominidae.
GCCGGGCGUGGUGGCUCACGCCUGUAAUCCCAGCACUUUGGGAGGCUGAAGUGGGCGGAUCACCUGAGGUCAGGAGUUCGAGACCAGCCUGGCCAACAUGGUGAAACCCUGUUUCUA